UACGUAGGGGGCGAGCGUUGUCCGGAAUCAUUGGGCGUAAAGCGCGUGUAGGCGGCUUGAUAAGUCCGGUGUGAAACCUUGGGGCUCAACCCCAAGCCUGCACUGGAUACUGCCGAGCUAGAGUCCGGGAGGGGAGAGCGGAAUUCCUAGUGUAGCGGUGAAAUGCGCAGAUAUUAGGAAGAACACCGGUGGCGAAGGCGGCUCUCUGGAACGGUACUGACGCUGAGACGCGAAAGCGUGGGGAGCGAACAGG
RNAcentral lists this ribosomal RNA (253 nucleotides) under uncultured bacterium. RNAcentral's name for it is "partial 16S ribosomal RNA". It matches the Rfam family "Bacterial small subunit ribosomal RNA", at positions 524 to 776 of the family's 1533-position model. The record is from RNAcentral.